RNAcentral lists this ribosomal RNA (497 nucleotides) under uncultured bacterium. RNAcentral's name for it is "partial 16S ribosomal RNA". It matches the Rfam family "Bacterial small subunit ribosomal RNA", at positions 28 to 507 of the family's 1533-position model. The record is from RNAcentral.
GAUGAACGCUGGCGGCGUGCCUAAUACAUGCAAGUCGAGCGAACAGACGAGGAGCUUGCUCCUCUGACGUUAGCGGCGGACGGGUGAGUAACACGUGGAUAACCUACCUAUAAGACUGGGAUAACUUCGGGAAACCGGAGCUAAUACCGGAUAAUAUAUUGAACCGCAUGGUUCAAUAGUGAAAGACGGUUUUGCUGUCACUUAUAGAUGGAUCCGCGCCGCAUUAGCUAGUUGGUAAGGUAACGGCUUACCAAGGCAACGAUGCGUAGCCGACCUGAGAGGGUGAUCGGCCACACUGGAACUGAGACACGUGCCAGACUCCUACGGGAGGCAGCAGUAGGGAAUCUUCCGAAAAGGGCGAAAGCCUGGCGGAGCAACGCCGCGUGAGUUAUGAAGGUCUUCGGAUCUUAAAACGCUGUUAUUAGGGAAGAACAAAUGUGUAAGUAACUAUGCACGUCUUGACGGUACCUAAUCAGAAAGCCACGGCUAACUACGUG